UUUUUUUUUUCUUUUUAUUUUUUUGGGGGGGCUGAACCUGCAGCAUAUGGAAGUUCCCAAGCUAGAGGUCAUAUCGGAGCUGCAGCUGCAGGACUACACCACAGCCCCUGAAACACCAGAUCUAAGCCACAUCUGUGACCUGCACCUCAUCUGUGGCAAUGCUGGAUCCUUAACCCACUGAGUGAGGCCAGGAAUUGAACCCGCAUCCUCAUGAAUACUAGUUGGGUUCUUCACCUGCUGAGCCACAGUGGGAACUCUGUGAAAAGUUAUAUAGUUUAUAGCAGAAAAAAAUUACUCAUAUAUUCACACACUGGAUCUCCCCUAAGUGUGAUUACUGGUUAAAGGUUAAUUCGUUUUCUUAUGUAUCUCUGCUUUCAUUGAGUUAUUACCCAAAUAGACCCAUCCCUGGGUACUGCCUGAGUUAUCUGUUCUAUAGUCACUUCAAUGUAUCUGAGGUCUGAGGACCUUUAAUCAGAAUUGCAACGCUGGUGAGAAGCAGUGGUUAUAUCUGUGACAAAGAUAUUUUACAGAUCGGAUGCCUUCACACAAUUUUUCCAUUCUAAAAUAAGCUUGGUGCAAAAGGCAUUACCAUAAACUUUCAGACAGAGUGUAUUUAAAAGUUCAUAAAACCAGAUGAUGGUAAGAACAGCACGUCGUCAUAUAAUUAGAGAUUUACAGUGGCAUUAUAAUUUAAUUUCUGCACAGCAACCUUUCAUACAUGGGUUUUUCAGGCAUGUAAUUGUGAAAUGCAAUUGGAAACACCAAACGGAAGUCUGCGUGUAGAAUUCCUGAACAGUCACGUCAGGCACCAUCUGAGGUUGGAGGAAACUGGGAAAAUUGGGAUGCAUGAUAGCACUUGGCACUCGGUGAUUCUGUAAAUGAAGCCUGGAAAAUGCGCCCCCCCACCCGAUAUACCUACUUCUUAAUUCCUAAAGUGACUAUUACCAUAUAUGACAAAAGAUGUGAUUAAGGUAGGAAUCUUAAAAUGCAAAUUGAGACUAUCACCUCACUUCUGAAAAGAUGUCUAUUAUUUAACAAAAACAAAAAAAGGAAUUCCCAUCCUGACUCAGUGGAGACAAAUCUGACUAGCAUCCGUGAGAACACAGGUUCGAUCCCAGACCUCCCUCAGUGGGUUAAGGAUCCAGUGUUGCCGUGAGCUGUGGUGUAGGUCACAGAGGCGGCUCGGAUCUGGUGUUGCUGUGGCCAUGGUGUAUGCUGGUAGCUAUGGCUCCAAUUGGACCCCUAGCCUGGGAACCUCCAUGUGCUGUGGGAGCGGGCAUAAAAAAAGAAAGAAAAGAAAAGGAAAGACAGAUAAGUAUUGGUGAGGAUAUGGAGAAAAGGAAACUGUUGUGCAUUGUUGGUAGGGAUGUAAGUGGGUGUAGCCAUUGUGGAAAACAGUACUGAGGUGCCUCAAAAAUGAAAAACAGAAGUAACGUAUGAUCCAGCGACCCCACUUCUAAGCACAAAUACAAAGAAAAUGAAAUCAGCUCCUCAAAGAGGUUCAUCGCAGCCUCAUUCACAGUAGAGAAGACAUAAAAACAACCCGAAUGUUGGUCAACUGAUGCAUGGAUAAAGAAAAUGUCACACACACACAAUGGUAUAUUAUUCAUCCUUUUUUUUGGGGCGGGGAGUGCACCUGCUGCAUUACGGAAGUUCCCAGGCUAGGGGUCGAGUCGGAGGUAGAGCUGGCAGCCACAGCCACGGCCACAGUCACACGGGAUUGGAGCCACCUCUGCAACCUACACCACAGCUCACGGCAACGCUGGAUCCUUAACCCACUGUAACCCACUGAGCGAGGCCAGGGGUCAAACGUGCAUCCUCACGGAUACUAGUUGGGUUCAUUAUCAUGGAGCCACAAUGGAAAUUCUUUUUCAUCCUUUAAAAAGAAGGAAAUCUUGUCAUUUGCUGCAACGUUGAUGAACCUGGAUGACCUUACAUUAAGAGGAAUAAGCCAAAGACAGAAAUAUUCUACAUGGUCUCACAUAUAUGUGGAAUCUAAAAAAGUCAAACAGAGAAGCAGAGAGGAGAACAGUGGUUACCAAGGCAGGGAGCUGGGGAAAUGGGGAGAUUCUGUGGGAGGUGAAUGUGUCUUGAAAUCUAACGUGUGGCAUGGUGACUAUAGUUAAUAAUAAAUACUCUACUGUUUAUGGAAAAUUUGCUAAGCGAAUAGAUCUCAGGUGCUCUCACCAGGUUAAUUGAUGAGGAAGGGAAUAUGUUAAUUUCACUAUAGUAAUCAUUUAAUCAUGUAUGUGUUUAUCAAAACAUCUUGUUGGAGUUCCCUGGUGGCUCAAUGAGUGAAGGAUCCAGUAUUGUCACUGCUGUGGCUCAGGUUGCUGCUAUGGUGCGGGUUCGAUCCCUGCUCCAGGAACUUCUGCAUGUCGAGGAUGUGGCCAACCCCCACCCCCCAAAAAAAAAUCUUGUUAUACUCCUUACAUGUAUAUAUAUACAUGAUUGUUAUUUUAAAAUAAAAAGGGUAUUCCAAAUAAUAAAUUAAAAAAGGAAUAAUAGAAUUGGAGUGUCACCAUUUUACAAGCCCAAUGGAUUAAUAGAUAUAGGCAUCAAUCAGCAAUGGCACUCACAUCACAAAAGAGACCAUUAGACCUAAAUUGCUUCCUGAGGAAAGAGCAUAAUUCUACUCACAGUCUUGCCAAAGGAAUGGCUCCAUCUCUGCGCUCAGCUGCCAAAUUCUCUGAAAUGAAAAAGACAGGAGAGCACUUUGAACUGGAGCCCCCGGGGAAGUGCUGCAGGUCACAGGAAUGGGACCUUCAGCAGGUGUCUCCUCGUAAAGAAAGGAGAGAAUAAAUGCACAGAGUCGACUCCAGAGUCUGCAGCCGUAAGAGAAGAAAAGCGAUACGAAAGGAAAGGAUGACGACAAGUCAUGAUGCAGGUGACUUCGGGGCGGUAUGGAAGGAAAGCGAAUGAAUUUCCAGAUUUUGAGGCAAACGAAUGUAAAUGAAAAAGUAAUAUUCCAACUCAUAUCCACGCAAUAAUUUUUUUAAAUAUUAUUCUCACAUUAAAUGCUAGCUCUUUUUAACGCAUGUGUGGUAUAAAGCCCAAAGAAAGUUUCUGAGAUUUUUCCUAUUUUCACAUUUAACAUGAAGAGUCCCUGAGUUUUUCCUCUGACUCGGUCAGGUCCUCCAAAAUGCUGGUUUGUCCAAGGACUUCAUCAUGCAAACAAUUUGCAAGUGCUUGAGAAAACCUGCUAAUUUUCCUCUAAGUUGCAGAAUAAUGAAAGAAAUAUUUUUUAAAAAGAGGGCUAGCUUACAUUUUUAAUGGAUAGACAAUAAGGUCCUACUGUAUAGCACAGGGAACUAUAGCCAGUCUCCUGGGAUAGAAGAUAGAAAAUAAUAUUUUUAAAAAAGAAUACAUAUAUAAGUAUGACUCAGUCACUUUGCUGUACAGCAAAAAUUGGCACAACAUUGUAAAUCAACUAUAUUUUUUAUUUUUUAUCUUUUUAGGGCCACACCCACGGCCUAUGGAGGUUCCCAGACUAGGGGUCAAAUCGGAGCUGCAGCUGCAGGCCUACACCACAACCACAGCAAAGCCAGAUCCGAGCCACAUCUGCAACCUACACCACAGCUCAUGGCAGUGCUGGAUCCUUAACCCACUGAGCAAGGCCAGAGAUCGAACCUGUGUUCUCAUGGAUGCUAGUCAGAUUCACUUCCCCUGAGCCACGACAGAAACACCUCAGCUAUAUACUUUAGUUAAAAAGACAGGGGUAGCAAUUGGAAUUAAGAUUUCCAAAUAAUGAUGUUACACUUUCACAGCAGCAUUAAUUGGGUAUCUGCUGACACUGGACGUGAUAUCACAUUCGAGCUUCACUAUCAACUUGUGAGGAUUAAACAGGCGGACGUGGCAGCUCCUGGGACUGUAGAGUUCCCAGGCAGGAAAAGAAAUGGGAAUUGUUUUACACUGAUCACUGCCUUUGGUCAAACAGUUUAGAGAGGAAACAGCUUUAGUUGAUCGUUAAAUGAGAACCUUCUGGAUGCCAAAGAACUCCACUUUGCUCUAAAAGCUGCCCCAGUGAAACUUCCACCACUUCUGCUGGUCAUGACCUCUGGGACUGCCCACGACCCUCCGGCAGCCUGGACCCUCCUGGUGUCAUUCUGUCACACGAGGGACAGGGCAGCUAUUCUAUAACUGAAGGCAGUUGACCAUAUAUUCCCUGGAGCUAAGCACGCUGAGUUCAUGGAGUACCUCUCAUGCAAGAAACAGUAGAUUGAAGGACUGAACCCCUAAAAUGGUCCCCAAUUUUAACAUUUUUAUAUUGAAAGGGCUCUUUUUACAGUCUGUGAAUUAUUUCUAAUUUUGUUACAGAGCGAGACCAUGGGGCUUGAUAUGGCAGGAUUCUAAGCUCCCCAGACAUGUGUCAUAUGCACCUUGGGUUGAAAAUCGUUUCGAAUUCCCAUUAGCUUGGUUUUUGAAGGGAUUGAAUUUCUUAGGACAGUUAAAACAUCUCACCUGCUAAUGAUCCCAACUCUGUAGCACUGCAACCGCGUUUAUCUAAUUCUAUAGUAAUGCCUGCCAUUGUCCUCUUCUCCCGGAACUGCGACGGUGAAGGGGUUACGAGGUUCAAAGCAUGUGUUGAGUUUGGUAUUUACCAGGCAUUGUGAGACAUGCUUCACCUGUGUUAUCAUAUUUAAUCCUGAAUUUCAGCUACUUACUUCAAUUUUUUGACAGAGGAGUAAGCUGUGGUCAUUCAAGCAAAAUGAUUUAACAAAAGAGGCAGGGCUGGGAUUUGAGGCCAGGUCUGGCAUCUCAGAGCCCACCUACUUAAGAAUUGGUACAUGAGGAAUUCCCUGGGGCUCAGGGGGUUAAGGAUCCAACACUGUCACUGCUGUGACUCGGAUCGCUGAUCCCUGGCCCCAGGAACCUCCGAGGGCCAUGGGUGCGGCCAAAAAAAAAAAA
RNAcentral lists this long non-coding RNA (4908 nucleotides) under Sus scrofa (pig). RNAcentral's name for it is "lncRNA (ENSSSCG00015070725.1)". Lineage: Eukaryota; Metazoa; Chordata; Mammalia; Artiodactyla; Suidae. The record is from RNAcentral.